RNAcentral lists this long non-coding RNA (1261 nucleotides) under Monodelphis domestica (gray short-tailed opossum). Its description in RNAcentral is "lncRNA (ENSMODG00000036986.1)". The record is from RNAcentral. Lineage: Eukaryota; Metazoa; Chordata; Mammalia; Didelphimorphia; Didelphidae.
UGAAGAUGAACUUCAGUGCAGCCUGGCUCUCCUGAAAGCUUUGAACUCUCCCAUGACUCUGCAUGGGUCAGAAUAGCCAGUCUGUCAGGUUGAAUAUAGGAGAAUAUUCACUGAAAAUCUGAAGUGUAUUUGAUCAGGGGAAGAAGGAUGAUAAGAGGCUCUGGGCAGAAGGGAUCGCACAUACAAACAGAACAAGCAAUGUUACUCCUUACCCUUGAUCAGUCGAGUCCCUCCAAUCAAACUGAUGAAUUUACAAAAUAUAAUGGGCAAGUCAAGAGGCAAUCAGGUAUUAGAACCUCCACUUUCAGACUCUAAGGAAUAUAAUUUGUGCCUGAAAGAGUGAAUAACUUUCAGAUUUUUGAGUGGCCCAUUUGUACCUUGUAAUGGCUGUCAGACCUAGAAGUGUUCGGUUAUAAUGUGAGUCAAGAAACUAGGCUAAGUACUGACAAAGAAAAUGGGUUUUCCCUCUAUCCACGAGCUGACUUCAGUGAGUGGAAGACACUCACUUUAAAAGCUGAGAAGCCAAUGCCAAUAUCCAUCAGCUAGGAGAUAUUCAGCUAAGAUUGCUUAUAACUUAGUGAAGUAAGGGAAGGCUAGGUAUUUGCCUAUUCAAUCAACAUAAGUAUAAAAGGAUUAUAUUUUUUAUAUUUCAUUGUUCAUAUUAUUUGUCCCCUUUCAUUGAAUAAUUUUAUCAAGUAGUUUAGGAGUAUUCAACUGAUCGAGGAUCUUCUGGUCAACCCUCUCCACAAACAUCUUGCCUUGGCAAGGAGAUGACCUUGUAUUCUCAAAGGCUAUACCAGUUGUGGUAAGCUCUAGCAUGUCCUAUCAAGUUUGCUAAGACUCUUAGUGAGAGAAGCUGCUAAGUAUCUCAGUGCAUUGAGAGCCAGGCCCAGAGAAGGGAGAUCCUGGGUUCAAAUCCAGUCUCAGAUACUUCCUAGCUGUGAGACCCUGGGCAAAUUAUUUAACCCCCAUUGCCUGUCCCUUACAAUUCUUCUGCCUUAGAACCAAUAUAUAGCAUUGAUUCUAAGACCAAAGGCAAGGGUGGUUCAGCUUUUUUUUAAGAUUCUUAAUGUGGGCACUGAGUUAGAUUACAUGACUUUUAGCUAACUAAGUUUAAGAGGCUAUCAUCAGGUUGGAUCAAGAUGACAAAAUCAAGACCAAGGCUACUCCUGAAGCACAUCUCCUAACUUGUAGAAGGAUCAUAUUCUAUGACAGUGGAACAAAUGCCAAAUUCAAAAUAAAGGCAAGAGACUUCUGGUCA